UUAUAUGGAGAAGAAUAUCAUGGCCUCUGCACAAGAAUGACAUGCAGACUUGUGAAGUGCUCCAUAUUUUU
Callithrix jacchus (white-tufted-ear marmoset) is the source of this 71-nucleotide small nuclear RNA. The record is from Ensembl. NCBI's taxonomy places the organism in Eukaryota, Metazoa, Chordata, Mammalia, Primates, Cebidae.